This 2784-nucleotide long non-coding RNA is filed under the name Homo sapiens (human). Its description in RNAcentral is "HSALNT0388262". Lineage: Eukaryota; Metazoa; Chordata; Mammalia; Primates; Hominidae. The record is from RNAcentral.
AAUUGUGCCUACAUCUGUUCAUCUACUUUUGUAUAAACAUAUAAACACACGAAAAGAAUAUAUUCACUUUAUUCAGAAUAAAACUAUACUCAAAGUUAUGGGGCCCUAAAAAAAAAUUUUAAAGGAUACAAAAAAAUGGAAAGAUAUUCCAUGUUUAUGGAUUAGACGAAUCAAUAUUGUUAAAUGUCCAUACUACCCAAAGCAAUCUACAGAUGCAAUGCAAUCCCUAUCAAAAUAUCAAUGACAUUUUUCACAGAAAUAGAAAAAACAAUCCUAAAGUUUAUAUGGGAACACACACACACACACACACACACACACACACACACACACACAGACACACACAAGCCCAGAAUAGCCAAAGCUAUCCUGAGCAAAAAGAACAAAACUGGAGGAAUCACAUUGCCUUACUUCAAAUUAUACUACAGAGCUAUAGUAGCCAAAACAGCAUGGUAGAGUUACAAAAACAGACACAUAGACAAGUGGAACAGAAUAGAGAACCCAGAAAUAAAUCCACACAUCUACAGUGAACUCAUUUUUGACAAAGAUGUUAAGAACAUACAUCAGGGAAAGGACAGUCUCUUCAAUAAAUGGUGCUGGGAAAACUGGAUAUCCAUAUGCAGAAGAAUGAAACUACACUCCUAUCUCUUGCCACAUACAAAAAUCAAAUCAAAUGCAUUAAAGACUUAAGUCUAAAGAUUUAAAUCUAUGUUCUCAAACUAUGAAACUACUACAAGAAAACAUAGGGGGAAAUCUCCAGGAUAUUGGUCUGGGCAAAAAUUUCUUGAGUAAUACCCCACAAGCACAGGCAAUUGAAGCAAAAAUCAACAAAAGAGAUCACAUCAAGUUAAAAAAAAAAACAAACUUCUGUAUAGCAAAGGAUGCAAUCAACAAAGUGAAGAGACAACCCACAUAAUGGGUGAAAAUAUUUGCAAACUACCCAUUUGACAAGGGAUUAAUAACAAGAAUACAUAAGGAGCUCAGACAACUCUAUAGGAAAAUAACCUAAUAAUCUGAUUAAAACAGACAAAAUAUCUGAAUAGACAUUUCUCAAAAGAAGAUAUCCAAAUGUCAAAUAGGUAAAUGAAAAGGUGCUCAACAUCACUGAUCAGAGAAAUGCAAAUCAAAACUACAAUGAGAAAUCAUCUUACCACAGGUUAAAAAUGGCUUAUAUCCAAAAGACAGGCAAUAACAAAUGCUGGUGAGGAUGUGGAGAAAAGGGAACCCUUGUACACUGUUGGUGGGAUUGUAAAUUAAUACAACCACUAUGGAGGUUCAUCAAAACACUAAAAGUAGAGCUACCAUAUGAUUGAGCAAUCCCAUUGCUAGGUAUAUACUCGAAAGAAAGGAAAUCAGAAUAUCGAAGAUGUAUCUGUACUCUCAUGUUUCUUGCAGCACUAUUCACAAUAGCCAAGAUUUGGAAGCAAACUAAAUGUUCAUCAACAGCUGAAUCAAUAAAGAAAAUAUAGUACAAUUACAUAAUGGAGUGCUAUUCAGCCAUAAAAAAAUAAGAUUCCGUCAUUUGCAACAACAUGGAUGGAACUGGAGGUCAUUAUGUUAAGUGAAAUCAGUCAGGCACAGAAAGACAGACUAAAUGCUCUCACUUAUUUGUGGGAGCCAACAAUUAAAACAAUUGAACUCAUAGACGUAGAGAGUAGAAGGAUGCUUACCAGAGGCUGGGAAGCAUAAUGUGGUGGGGGGAGUGGGUAGGGCGUGGGGAAUGGAGAUGGUCAAUGGGUACAAAAAAAUUAGAAAGUGUUGGGAGCAGGCCCCCCAAAAUCUGGCCAUAAACUGUCCCUAAAAUUGACCAUAAACAAAAUCUCUGCAGCACUGUAACAUGUUCAUAAUGGCCCUAACGCCCAAGCUGGAAGGUUGUGGGUUUAUGGGAAUGAGGGCAAGGAACACCUGGCCCGCCCAGGACGGAAAACUGCUUAAAGGCGUUCUUAAGCCACAAACAAUAGCAUGAGUGAUCUGUGCCUUAAGGACAUGCUCCUGCUGCAGUUAACUAGUCCAACCUAUUCCUUUAAUUCAGCCCAUCCCUUUUCCCAUAAGGGAUACUUUUAGUUAAUUUAAUAUCUAUAGAGACAAUGCUAAUGACUGGUUUGCCAUUAAUAAAUACGUGGGUAAAUCUCUGUUCGGGGUUCUCAGCUCUGAAGGCUGUGAGACCCCUGAUUUCCUACUUCACACCUCUGUAGUUCUGUGUGUGUGUCUUUAAUUCCUCUAGCGCUGCUGGGUUAGGGUCUCCCCGACUGAGCUGGUCUCGGCAAGUGGUGUCCAUUCGUGGGGGCUCAAAUCCAGGUCGAAGGGUCGCCAGAGCAACAGUUGGAAUGGAAAACCAGCUGGAGGACACAGGAGUACUCUUAAAGCAAUCCCCGUGGUGAGUAAGAAGGGGAGCUUGGAAGGGUAACAAUGGGACAAGUGUGGGGUCUGGUUCAUUCCAUCUUGGAACUUUUUCACACUGAUCAUGAGGAGGAAGGAGAGUAUAGUGAAGUAACAGAAGAGGUUACAGAGCAUGUUCAUUUACCAGCUAAAGCAGCAAAGGAAGGAGAGGUUCAUCCCUACCCUUCUGCACCCCCUCAUUAUUAUUUUGAAGAAAAAGACCCUCCAGAUCUUUCUUUUCCGGAGGACACGGGGCGAAAAGUAGUUGCCCCUGUGACUAUUUGAGCAGCGCCUCAAGCGACUGCUUUUAGUUCUAUUCAGGUAGGAAUUCAGCAAGCUAGAUGAGAGGGUGAUUUAGAGGCUUGGCAGUUCCCUGUUAGAAUACACCCCUCCCACCCCCAAUCAAAA